GCGGCCCCCUGGACAAGACUGACGCUCAGGUGCGAAAGCGUGGGGAGCAAACAGGAUUAGAUACCUGGUAGUCCACGCUGUAAACGAUGUCGAUUUGGAGGUUGUGCCCUUGAGGCGUGGCUUCCGGAGCUAACGCGUUAAAUCGACCGCUGGGGAGUACGGCCGCAAGGUUAAAACUCAAAUGAAUUGACGGGGGCCCGCACAAGCGGUGGAGCAUGUGGUUUAAUUCGAUGCAACGCGAAGAACCUUACCUACUCUUGACAUCCAGAGAACUUUCCAGAGAUGGAUUGGUGCCUUCGGGAACUCUGAGACAGGUGCUGCAUGGCUGUCGUCAGCUCGUGUUGUGAAAUGUUGGGUUAAGUCCCGCAACGAGCGCAACCCUUAUCCUUUGUUGCCAGCGGUUCGGCCGGGAACUCAAAGGAGACUGCCAGUGAUAAACUGGAGGAAGGUGGGGAUGACGUCAAGUCAUCAUGGCCCUUACGAGUAGGGCUACACACGUGCUACAAUGGCGUAUACAAAGAGAAGCGACCUCGCGAGAGCAAGCGGACCUCAUAAAGUACGUCGUAGUCCGGAUUGGAGUCUGCAACUCGACUCCAUGAAGUCGGAAUCGCUAGUAAUCGUAGAUCAGAAUGCUACGGUGAAUACGUUCCCGGGCCUUGUACACACCGCCCGUCACACCAUGGGAGUGGGUUGCAAAAGAAGUAGGUAGCUUAACCUUCGGGAGGGCGCUUACCACUUUGUGAUUCAUGACUGGGGUGAAGUCGUAACAAGGUAACCA
RNAcentral lists this ribosomal RNA (778 nucleotides) under uncultured Serratia sp. RNAcentral's name for it is "bacterial SSU rRNA". It matches the Rfam family "Bacterial small subunit ribosomal RNA", at positions 721 to 1502 of the family's 1533-position model. Lineage: Bacteria; Pseudomonadati; Pseudomonadota; Gammaproteobacteria; Enterobacterales; Yersiniaceae. The record is from RNAcentral.